Molecule: long non-coding RNA, 238 nt
Organism: Trichomycterus rosablanca
Lineage: Eukaryota; Metazoa; Chordata; Actinopteri; Siluriformes; Trichomycteridae
Exons: 3
Source: RefSeq, a predicted model, not a curated record
UAUCCAGCUCUCACCGCAGCCACCCAGUCUCCCACACUGGGAUACACGCUAACGGCUAGCGUGGUGAGCAGAAACGGAAUGUAAACAAGAAGUGCCGUCAGGGAGCAUGAGGGAGCAUACCGUACGGUGCAGCUAGCAGUUAAUGACAAGCAAAUUAUGACCUGUAUGCUGAACAUACAAAGGAGAAGCAAGAUGUAAGGAAACUGCUCAAGGAGUCAAACUUGUGAAAAACACACCA